AAGGAUCAUUACUGAGAGAGGGGCUUCGCGCUCCCGGGGGUCUCGGCCCCCAACUCUUCACCCAUUGUGUACACUACCUUUGUUGCUUUGGCGGGCCCCGAGGACUUCUCGCGCUGCCUACAGGGCGGCGAGCGCCCGCCAGAGGCCCAUCAAAAUCUGUUUAUCAAUGGUGUCCGAGCGAAAACACAAUAAUCAAAACUUUCAACAACGGAUCUCUUGGUUCCAGCAUCGAUGAAGAACGCAGCGAAAUGCGAUAACUAAUGUGAAUUGCAGAAUUCAGUGAAUCAUCGAGUCUUUGAACGCACAUUGCGCCCCUCGGUAUUCCGGGGGGCAUGCCUGUUCGAGCGUCAUUAUACCCCUCAAGCGUAGCUUGGUAUUGGGCCUCGCCCCCGUGGCGUGCCCGAAAAGCAGUGGCGGUCCGGGGCGACUUUAAGCGUAGUAAAAUCAUCCCGCUUCGAAAGUCCGCCUCGCGACCGGCCAGACAACCCC
Molecule: ribosomal RNA, 489 nt
Filed under: Vulpicida pinastri
Lineage: Eukaryota; Fungi; Ascomycota; Lecanoromycetes; Lecanorales; Parmeliaceae
Description: eukaryotic LSU rRNA
Rfam family: 5.8S ribosomal RNA (bases 197-350)
Source: RNAcentral